Molecule: long non-coding RNA, 403 nt
Organism: Candoia aspera
Lineage: Eukaryota; Metazoa; Chordata; Lepidosauria; Squamata; Candoiidae
Exons: 3
Source: RefSeq, a predicted model, not a curated record
ACUAAAAAAAAAAAAUAAAAAUAUGAAAGACUCAAUUGACCAAAGCCAUGAUAGGAAGCUGAGGACAACAUCUGAUGUUCCAUUCAACUUCAUAAUCUAGCAUCAAGCCUGGAAUUUAAAAAGCCAGUUUUCCUAAGAGUCUUAUGCAGAUGAUGGAAGAAGUGCUUGAUGGGAAUAUGUGCAAUGAUCAUGUUCUUAAGCACCCUACAGAGAUCCAACUAACCACAAGCAUUUGGUUCUAUCACACACUUCUCAUAAGCAGCAAGUCAGGUAGACACAACUUUUUCUUAUUUUAACUUCUAUAUCUCUGACAUCAUCUUGAACAGUGUUAUGAAUACAUUAUAUCUUGACGUUAAAUAAUAGAACAAUCUUAUUCUACUGAGCUUUUUAAGCUUAGCUGAUU